Hirundo rustica (Barn swallow) is the source of this 566-nucleotide long non-coding RNA. RefSeq lists it as uncharacterized. NCBI's taxonomy places the organism in Eukaryota, Metazoa, Chordata, Aves, Passeriformes, Hirundinidae. The transcript has 3 exons. The record is from RefSeq and is a predicted model, not a curated record.
CUGAAAAAAUGGGUUGCCGCCACUUGAAACUGGGGCUGUCUCCUGUUUCUUUCCUGGGGGUUUGGGAGCUGAUGGCUGCUGCAUCUUCUCAGUCACCCUCCUGGAACCCUGGUUCCCUUCAGCAGCAGCAGCAGUUCCACAGGAUCCCUAAGGAGGUCAGACACCGAUGGAGAUGGACACGGAAUGCAGGUGGAAGAUGAGAGGAAACAUUUCAGCCUUACUGCAGAAAUUACUGCUUGAGGCUUGUCUAAAGCCUCCUGCCCUGCUGCCUUAUGACAGCAAGAAAUACUUGGUGCUUAAAAGGAAUGGGAGAACCUUGGCUGGACGCAGCUCACAAGUGACAAAAGCUGUGAAAGCCCAGAAAAUCCAGCUGUAACCAGAAUCUUCUUGUGCCCAGUGGUGAAUUCUGGCCCGUGGGAGAGGCUUUGGGGCACUGCAGCCUGAGCACACCGUGCUGAGAGAGGGUCUGAAGCUGCAGGAACUUUUUGCUUUGCUUUCCUGCUGCCUGGGAGCAACUCAGGUUGCCAAAGACUCUACUAAGCCCACAGAGGACCUCCAACAUUGCA